AUACGAAGGGUGCAAGCGUUGUUCGGAUUUACUGGGCGUAAAGCGUCCGUAGGUGGUUUGUUAAGUCAGGGGUGAAAUCCCGGGGCCUAACCCCGGAACUGCCUUUGAUACUGGCAGGCUGGAGCGCGAUAGAGGAAGAUGGAAUAUCUGGUGUAGGGGUGAAAUCCGUAGAUAUCAGAUAGAACACCAAUGGCGAAGGCAGUCUUCUGGAUCGUUGCUGACACUGAGGGACGAAAGCGUGGGUAGCAAACAGAAUUAGAUACUCUGGUAGUCCACGCCCUAAACGAUGCAUGCUUGUUGUUGGUUUCCUUCGGGGAAUCAGUGACGAAGCUAACGCGUUAAGCAUGCCGCCUGGGGACUACGAUCGCAAGAUUAAAACUUAAAUGAAUUGGCGGGG
RNAcentral lists this ribosomal RNA (397 nucleotides) under uncultured bacterium. RNAcentral describes it as "partial 16S ribosomal RNA". It matches the Rfam family "Bacterial small subunit ribosomal RNA", at positions 523 to 918 of the family's 1533-position model. The record is from RNAcentral.